This 1169-nucleotide long non-coding RNA is filed under the name Hordeum vulgare. RNAcentral describes it as "long non-coding RNA (HVUL_LNC017074)". Lineage: Eukaryota; Viridiplantae; Streptophyta; Magnoliopsida; Poales; Poaceae. The record is from RNAcentral.
GCGACAUAAGAUCUUUCAAGGACCAUUUAGCACAAAUAAUACCCGGAAUCGCUCCCCAGCUGUCAGGUGAGGUAUGCUGGCUGCUGUGGCUGCUUGGACCUGAAGAAGCGAGAACAGCACCUCUUCACCGAUCGCCUUCCAUGCGGCAGCAGCGGCACUGUUUCCAGAAGCCGAUCGAGCAGCGUUCCGCAGAGGCCGGGUGGCCAUGGCGUGCGUGGCGGCACAUGGAGAUGGAGGCCGGCGUGGCCGCCCAUGCCGCCGGAUUGGGGGGGCCGGAGAUGUUGGUGCUGGUUAGCUCGCCAUGGCUUUCAAUGCUCGUGUGCCUGGGCGCUGUGGGUUGCGCCGUGUUAAUCGUUUGGCGAUGGUUGGCUCAUGUGCAUGGUGUGACUUGGCAGCAAACUGACACUAUGAGCGUCUGCUCACGGCACAAAGGUUUUGCUUGCAGACGGUUAAUAAGGGAGCUGCUUCACUCUCCCUCGCUUCAUCUGAAAGCGACCAUGGUGUGGCCGGCCGUGCUUUGAGUAGCAGUAUUACUCUUCAGGCUUCAGCCUAACAAACACCAACCGGUGAUAUUCAGAUUUGUUCAUUUGACUUGCAAUACUAGUACAUAGUUUUUUUUUUGCUGGAAUAGUACUUAGUGCCUGUUCGGCAACGCUCCUUGGAGCGGAGCGCACCAGCUUCAGAAACUGUAACUCGACGCCACUCCGCUCCGGCGCAGAGUCACGGAGCGGAAGGAAUCCCAACACGUCUUAGUAAGUGCUUCCUCUGUAAACAAAUACAAAAGUGUUUAGAUCAUUAUUUUAAUAGUCUAAACGUUAUUAUAUUAGUUUACGGAGGGAGUACAUAGUUGAAAGCAAAAGCUUCUAUGCACUGAUGAGGGCGGCCUGCCACCCAACCUGAGGGGAUAAUUGGAUUGCAUAGAGAAAGGAAAGCGUGGUUGCUUUUGAGCUGGGUUAAUUGGAUUGUUUGUGUGUUCCGAAUGGCAUGAUUGCUAAUAGUGUGUUGUUCCGCGGGUUGUCACCAAUCAUGGUUAUCACCUGGAUAUGUAAUCCACUGCCUGCCUGACACUCCAAGCGUGCCUUGCUUCACUGCUGCCAUGUUCUGAUCUUCAGCGCCAUUCGCCCGCCCAUGUUUCCGCUCAGGCUGUUUUCCAACUUGUUUUACUGUGC